GUUUUUUAUCAAAAUUAUACAUGCAAGCAUCCGCACACCAGUGAGAAUGCCCUACAAAGUACAAAGGAGCAGGUAUCAGGCACAACCAGUUAGCCCAAAACACCUUGCUAUGCCACACCCACACGGGCACCCAGCAGUAAUAAAUAUUAAGCAAUGAGUGAGCAACCAACACAAGCUCGACUUAGUUAUGAACAAAAGGGCCGGUCAACCUCGUGCCAGCCACCGCGGUUAUACGAGGGGCCCAAAACAUCGGACACCGGCGUAAAUUAUGGCUAGAGAAAACCACUUACAUUAAAGGAAAGUAAAAACAAGCCCAACCGUAAAACCUGGGCCAAAAGAAGCCCACUAUUCCAAACUGUAAAGUUACUUGAACCCAUGAAGACUAAGAAACAAACUAGGAUUAGAUACCCUACUAUGCUUAGUUGUUAACACGACAUUAAACAACACUAAUAUGUCCGCCAGAGGAUUACACGCGAAAAGCUUAAAACUCAAAGGACUUGGCGGUGCUCCGUAUUCGCCUUAGAGGAGCCUGUCCUAUAAUCGAUACUCCACGCUUUACCUCACCAUCUUUUGUUAUAACAGCCUAUAUACCGCCGUCGCAAACUUACCCCAUGAGGGCAUAAUAGUAAGUAAAAUAGUCCCACACUAAAACGUCAGGUCAAGGUGUAGCUUAUAAGAUGGAAGAGAUGGGCUACAUUUUCUAACCCAGAACACACGGCAAAGGGCAUUGAAACAUGCCCACAAAGGUGGAUUUAAUAGUAAGAUAACAAAGAAAACUUAUCUAAAACCCGCUCCGGAGCGCGCACACACCGCCCGUCACCCUCCUCAACAAACACAAAAACAUUUAUAAUACCUAAUUUAAUCAAAGAUGA
Molecule: non-coding RNA, 872 nt
Filed under: Liolaemus ramirezae
Lineage: Eukaryota; Metazoa; Chordata; Lepidosauria; Squamata
Source: RNAcentral